RNAcentral lists this ribosomal RNA (425 nucleotides) under uncultured bacterium. RNAcentral describes it as "bacterial SSU rRNA". It matches the Rfam family "Bacterial small subunit ribosomal RNA", at positions 359 to 776 of the family's 1533-position model. The record is from RNAcentral.
GAAUAUUGGACAAUGGGCGAAAGCCUGAUCCAGCCAUGCCGCGUGAGUGAAGAAGGCCUUCGGGUUGUAAAGCUCUUUCAGUCGGGAAGAAACGGGGUGCUCUAACAUAGCGCCUUACUGACGGUACCGACAGAAGAAGCACCGGCUAACUACGUGCCAGCAGCCGCGGUAAUACGUAGGGUGCGAGCGUUAAUCGGAAUUACUGGGCGUAAAGCGUGCGCAGGCGGUUGUGUAAGACAGGUGUGAAAUCCCCGGGCUUAACCUGGGAAUGGCGCUUGUGACUGCACGGCUAGAGUACGGCAGAGGGGGGUGGAAUUCCACGUGUAGCAGUGAAAUGCGUAGAGAUGUGGAGGAACACCGAUGGCGAAGGCAGCCCCCUGGGCCGAUACCGACGCUCAUGCACGAAAGCGUGGGGAGCAAACAGG